GCAGUCGAACGAGUUCUCGUUGAUGAUCGGUGCUUGCACCGAGAUUCAACAUGGAACGAGUGGCGGACGGGUGAGUAACACGUGGGUAACCUGCCCUUAAGUGGGGGAUAACAUUUGGAAACAGAUGCUAAUACCGCAUAGAUCCAAGAACCGCAUGGUUCUUGGCUGAAAGAUGGCGUAAGCUAUCGCUUUUGGAUGGACCCGCGGCGUAUUAGCUAGUUGGUGAGGUAACGGCUCACCAAGGCGAUGAUACGUAGCCGAACUGAGAGGUUGAUCGGCCACAUUGGGACUGAGACACGGCCCAAACUCCUACGGGAGGCAGCAGUAGGGAAUCUUCCACAAUGGACGCAAGUCUGAUGGAGCAACGCCGCGUGAGUGAAGAAGGCUUUCGGGUCGUAAAACUCUGUUGUUGGAGAAGAAUGGUCGGCAGAGUAACUGUUGUCGGCGUGACGGUAUCCAACCAGAAAGCCACGGCUAACUACGUGCCAGCAGCCGCGGUAAUACGUAGGUGGCAAGCGUUAUCCGGA
Molecule: ribosomal RNA, 527 nt
Filed under: Lacticaseibacillus paracasei
Lineage: Bacteria; Bacillati; Bacillota; Bacilli; Lactobacillales; Lactobacillaceae
Description: bacterial SSU rRNA
Rfam family: Bacterial small subunit ribosomal RNA
Source: RNAcentral